AGGGAUGACCAGGUUGUUAAUCCGGUCCUAACUGUUUCUUUCUCUGUCCCUCUCUUGCAGCACCUGACUGAAUGGAGGAGCAAGUGGACGGGAAGUUCCUGCGCCACACACAGAUCACAUUUAUUACUCUCGCCCUCAGAGACCCGGAGAUCCAAACCGUUCGCAUGGUGCCUUGAAGCAGCCUGUGCUCAUGUGCUUCUCCCAGGGAGAAGGCGGAAUGGCAGUGACUGGCCACGUUAAGCCACAGGGUGCACACUCUGCAGCUGUCAAGCCCAGCUCUGCGUCAGCUCACACCUGCGAUUUUGCGCCGCACACGCGGAUUUGAGCUGUCGCUGGUUGUUGCAGCGUUUGGCUUUGGUGAGGACAGCGUGUGUUUGUCAGCAGUUGGUGUAGGUGGAAUCUUGAGGAGAAAGUGAUAUUUCCGUGCCAGAACUGGUUGGUGUUUGCAUGGUAUUGUGGCGGUUGUUCCCGCAGGCAAUGAGUGCUGGAGUGUUAUUGCAGGAAAGGGGAUUUUGGAGCUUGUCUGUGAGAUGCACCAGAGGCAGCAGCUGAAAGCGGAAGGCUGAGAUUUGGAGAGUUUGUGGGUGGGUUUUGGGCGGUUGUCAGCUGAAGAGUUGGCUGUUUGCAGGUGAGGUGUAGGGCAGAGGGUGAAGCUGACUUUGCCUGGGCGGCGCAACUGGCUGGGUGUGCAGAGCUGAGGAGAGCGGGCUGCUGCGGGUGACCCUAAAGCUGGAGAACCGGCCGGCAGCUCCAGAGGCUCCCGCUGCCGGGCAGGGCCGUGCAGGCCAGUGCCCUGGGGCACAGCGACGUGACCCUCCGCAAGGAACAAAGAGCAGGUGGAGCAGCGUGCAAAGGAAAAGCAAGGAAGGAGGUGAACCUGUGAGGAAGAGUGAUGGAUAAAGAGGGUUGGAGCUCACCUGCCAAUCAAGAGGGAUCAAGAAAGAAGACACCGGUGGUGGAACCGCAGGUUCAGUGCCCGAGCCUCAUUUGGUUGUAUCUGUAAACAUUAAACAUCUCAGCACGAAUCACAACUGCAUUUCUCACAGACAGAAGUGCCUGAACUCCACAGCUUGCCUGGCAGUGCAGAGAGCAGGAAGUGUGGUGAGUCCUGGGCCCUUGGGGACAUUUCACCCUGUUUUGUGUCCCAGUCCCUCCCUGCUCCCUCCUCUUUCCUACUGUGCCCUUCUUCCUCUUCAUCUCUUCUCCCUCUGUCCCUCUGCUGCUUCCUCACCUAUUCCUCCACCCUUCUGAAUCUCUGUGCAGGGUUUCUCGUAUCUCCCUCUCCGUACCCACCCCUCUGUGUUCUCACCAUCCCUGGUUUCUCUUUGUCGUCAUUCUUGUCUGUUGCUCUGUCCUGCUCCGUGCCCCAUCAUUUCUCACUGUAUCCCUCUGUCCUGCUCCCUGCGCCUG
Molecule: long non-coding RNA, 1410 nt
Organism: Columba livia (rock pigeon)
Lineage: Eukaryota; Metazoa; Chordata; Aves; Columbiformes; Columbidae
Exons: 3
Source: RefSeq, a predicted model, not a curated record